UACGUAGGGGGCAAGCGUUGUCCGGAUUUAUUGGGCGUAAAGAGCGUGUAGGCGGUCAGGUAGGUCGGUUGUGAAAACUGGAGGCUCAACCUCCAGACGUCGAUGGAAACCGUCUGGCUAGAGUCCGGAAGAGGAGAGUGGAAUUCCUGGUGUAGCGGUGAAAUGCGCAGAUAUCAGGAAGAACACCCGUGGCGAAAGCGGCUCUCUGGGACGGUACUGACGCUGAGACGCGAAAGCGUGGGGAGCGAACAGG
Molecule: ribosomal RNA, 253 nt
Filed under: uncultured bacterium
Lineage: Bacteria
Description: partial 16S ribosomal RNA
Rfam family: Bacterial small subunit ribosomal RNA
Source: RNAcentral